AGCUGUUUCCGGUGAGGUCAACUGCAGGAUCAAUAGCAUUCAGCGGUGAGUUUAAGAACGCUCAAAUGUGGGUAAAAUAACAUUCAGAGAGGAGUUUUAUUAAAACAGCGUUCAACUGCACGUAAGACAACAUUCAGAGGUGAGUUUAACAACGCUCCACGGCGCGUGAGAUUAAGUAUUUUAAGCGUUUUCUGAUCAUGUAGUGCUUUAUUAGACGUGAUGCAUGCUGGGUGUUAAAUCAUUUUUAUCAAAUGAUCGUUGAUGUUAAUAAAUAUAGAUCUAAAUAUACAUUUGACUUGUGUUCGAUUAAUUAAUAAGUUGUUUAAUUAUUAAUUUGUUUAUUUAAAGUCCUGUAAUAACCGUGACGUCAUCGAAUGAGACGAAGGUCCAUGGCUAUUUCAACUCGGAAGUUGAGAUGAAGAACUCCAAGAACAUCUCUUGAUCUUGGAUAAGUUGGUUGAUGGUCAAGAACUAAAGGAUGAGCUCCAAAGUCUUGAUGACUUUCUUGGUGAACUGCAAGAAAGGCAGCAGCACCAAUGAAGACACCUGAGGCAAGGGUGCAUUGGAGAAAAAGAGACAUUGAUGGAAAUAUUGUCUAUGCAAGGCCAAGGUCAAGCAGGAAUCAACAAAAAAAGCUGAUCACAUUCGGAACAAUGAUCCUCCCAAUGCUCCUGACACUCAUUGUGAGGUGGCCUUUGCUCCAGAGACUGUUGAGUGUAUUCACUGAACGAUUUCUCAAGGAACGACGCAUCACCUCCUGGAACCCCAAGAGAUCCUCUUCAGGCUUCCUCAAACUGGAGCACACACAAAUUCUCUUUUCAGAGAGGUGGAGGACAGAGAGACCCUGUCUGCUGAACACGGCUGUGGCACAAGAAAAUGUGGCAGCACAUCUGGCAGAGUGUGGGAGAAGCCCAAGCUGUUAUCCAGUGUUGUGACUGACGACCUCGUCCCUUCUUCUGUGCUGAAUUGGACGUCAUCAUGUCCUCCAUAGCAGAGAUGCCAUGACUGCUGGAUUCUUCCAGCCAUUGCCACCAACAACUGUUGUGGUGGAUAAGGCUCUUUCCCAUUGUGAGUCAUUAAGGGUCUGUCCAGGAAAGAGUUGCUGUGGUCACAAUCAAUGGUAAGAA
This is a non-coding RNA of Misgurnus anguillicaudatus (oriental weatherfish), 1127 nucleotides long. The record is from RefSeq and is a predicted model, not a curated record. NCBI's taxonomy places the organism in Eukaryota, Metazoa, Chordata, Actinopteri, Cypriniformes, Cobitidae.